AGUGAACGCUGGCGGUAGGCCUAACACAUGCAAGUCGAACGGCAGCACAGUAAGAGCUUGCUCUUACGGGUGGCGAGUGGCGGACGGGUGAGGAAUACAUCGGAAUCUACUUUUUCGUGGGGGAUAACGUAGGGAAACUUACGCUAAUACCGCAUACGACCUACGGCUGAAAGCAGGGGAUCUUCGGACCUUGCGCGAUUGAAUGAGCCGAUGUCGGAUUAGCUAGUUGGCGGGGUAAAGGCCCACCAAGGCGACGAUCCGUAGCUGGUCUGAGAGGAUGAUCAGCCACACUGGAACUGAGACACGGUCCAGACUCCUACGGGAGGCAGCAGUGGGGAAUAUUGGACAAUGGGCGCAAGCCUGAUCCAGCCAUACCGCGUGGGUGAAGAAGGCCUUCGGGUUGUAAAGCCCUUUUGUUGGGAAAGAAAAGCAGCAGGUUAAUACCCCGCUGUUCUGACGGUACCCAAAGAAUAAGCACCGGCUAACUUCGUG
RNAcentral lists this ribosomal RNA (492 nucleotides) under uncultured bacterium. Its description in RNAcentral is "partial 16S ribosomal RNA". It matches the Rfam family "Bacterial small subunit ribosomal RNA", at positions 29 to 507 of the family's 1533-position model. The record is from RNAcentral.